Molecule: ribosomal RNA, 382 nt
Filed under: uncultured bacterium
Lineage: Bacteria
Description: bacterial SSU rRNA
Rfam family: Bacterial small subunit ribosomal RNA
Source: RNAcentral
GUGUCAGCCGCCGCGGUAAUACGUAGGGUGCGAGCGUUAAUCGGAAUUACUGGGCGUAAAGCGUGCGCAGGCGGUAAUGUAAGACAGAUGUGAAAUCCCCGGGCUUAACCUGGGACCUGCAUUUGUGACUGCAUUGCUGGAGUGCGGCAGGAGGGGGAUGGAAUUCCGCGUGUAGCAGUGAAAUGCGUAGAUAUGCGGAGGAACACCGAUGGCGAAGGCAAUCCCCUGGGCCUGCACUGACGCUCAUGCACGAAAGCGUGGGGAGCAAACAGGAUUAGAUACCCUGGUAGUCCACGCCCUAAACGAUGUCAACUGGUUGUUGGGCCUUCACUGGCUACAGUAAACGAAGCUAACGCGUGAAGUUGACCCGCCUGGGGAGUAA